AGGAACUGCUCCCAAGUGGCUGGUGUAGGCAGGGUGGUCUGCUUGAGCUCCCACCAACGACCUGCUUCCCCUACCAGCAUAUAGGAAGCAAGGGCAGCUCUCUACUCGGGAACCACUCCCAAGGUCUUGAAAGCUCUCUCAGUCUCCGCCAACCAGUACUGGGCAUCUUUAAAAGAGGAUCCCCCUAUAAAAGUGGAAGGGUUCAGUCUCCUGUACCUCUCUAUGUAGCCUGGGUCGAUCAAGGAAGGAGCUGGGUCCCGUGGAAGAAGGACUAGGCCCGGCUAGGGAUAGACUGGGGGGCCCUGUGGUGGCACCUGCUGAUAUGGUGGGGGCACCGAAUUGUACUGUGUCGGUGCCGGGCAGUACGGUGGCUGGGGCACCGGUUCAUACUGCUUCAGCGGUGCCGGGUGGUACUGUGGUGGAGCAGGCUCGUGCCGUGGUGGCUCGGGAUCCACUUGCUGUAGCGGUGGCUCAACCCGUGGUAGUGGGGGAGGUUC
This 497-nucleotide long non-coding RNA is filed under the name Carica papaya (papaya). RNAcentral's name for it is "long non-coding RNA (CPAP_LNC014385)". The record is from RNAcentral. Lineage: Eukaryota; Viridiplantae; Streptophyta; Magnoliopsida; Brassicales; Caricaceae.